AGUGGAGUAAAAGAGAUUAAAUAGUAAAAAGGUUUAAGGGAAGCCGGUCAAAAACAUGCUCCAGUGCUUGAACCCGUUUCCGGGGUGUUUUGAAAAAUGGUUGAAUGGACCUGAAAAAAUAGGUGUGACACGCUGAGCCAGAAAGCCUAUAGUAAAAGCCCGACGCGGAGACCCGAAAGGGAGGAGGCGGCGGGGGGUUGACAAAGCCGGGCCAGAUGGAUAGACUGGCAAGGUUGUUCGGAGCCGGAAACGGUUUCCGGGCAAGAAACAAGCGGAACAAAAGAAACAAGCGGAUCAUUGACAACUAAAUAGGAGCAGCAACGAUCGACGGGCCCGCAGAAACACGUUCUUUCCGAAAGGGAAGGACAAAAAGAGCAAAUCUGGAGAGUUUGAUCCUGGCUCAGAACGAACGCUGGCGGCGUGCCUAACACAUGCAAGUCCGACGUGAAAGGGGAGCAAUCCCCCGGUAGGGUGGCAAACGGGUGAGUAAUACAUGGGUGAUCUACCCUGGAGAUGGGGAUAUCCCUCCGAAAGGGGGGGCAAUACCG
This 548-nucleotide ribosomal RNA is filed under the name uncultured bacterium. Its description in RNAcentral is "partial 16S ribosomal RNA". The stretch from base 378 to 548 matches the Rfam family "Bacterial small subunit ribosomal RNA", at positions 1 to 171 of the family's 1533-position model. The record is from RNAcentral.